GCCGUGAUAGCUCAGUCGGUAGAGCGCAUCCAUGGUAAGGAUGAGGUCCCGGGUUCAAGUCCCGGUCGCGGCUCCA
This 76-nucleotide transfer RNA is filed under the name Candidatus Saccharimonadota bacterium. RNAcentral's name for it is "tRNA-Thr". It matches the Rfam family "tRNA". From Rfam's summary of the family: Transfer RNA (tRNA) molecules are approximately 80 nucleotides in length. Their secondary structure includes four short double-helical elements and three loops (D, anti-codon, and T loops). Lineage: Bacteria; Candidatus Saccharimonadota. The record is from RNAcentral.